Molecule: long non-coding RNA, 490 nt
Filed under: Olea europaea (common olive)
Lineage: Eukaryota; Viridiplantae; Streptophyta; Magnoliopsida; Lamiales; Oleaceae
Description: long non-coding RNA (OEUR_LNC010179)
Source: RNAcentral
UUAAAAGAAAGACUUGUGGGAUCUACUAUUCAUUCUUGCCACAUGAGUUUUCACACUCUUGUUCAUCAAACUGGUUAUAAUACACAACAUAUUUUAUCGCCUGAAUGGGACACGCUUUCUUCUCUCAACCACAACAAAACCAUACCGUACCGGCUUCUCAAAACUCCAUCUUUCUCCUUCCGAUAAUCAAAGAAUAAAGUACUAUUGUAGGUCUCUGAUGAUGUUGCCUGUCAGAGCAGAGGUCGUGGGCACAUUGGAGGCUAUGCUGAUGCUUUGUCUUAAAGAUGCCACCAGUUGGGACACACCAAUUUCUUUUUCAAAAACUCUCCUAUGGGAAAUUUUCCAGAUGUUUAGUCGAAAUCAGAGACAAUUUUAUUUUUCAAUUAAUAUGUAAUUCCAUUGGUGGAAAUUUAUAGCCCCAGAAAAGAUUAUUUUUAAUUUUAUUGAUGUUAAUGAUAUGAUAGUCUUUACGUUUUAAAAUCCCCUUUUU